This is a regulatory RNA element of Castellaniella defragrans 65Phen, 117 nucleotides long. It matches the Rfam family "ALIL pseudoknot". The record is from Rfam. NCBI's taxonomy places the organism in Bacteria, Pseudomonadati, Pseudomonadota, Betaproteobacteria, Burkholderiales, Alcaligenaceae.
CGCUUUUUUUGCCCAGGCGGAGCUCGACCGCCAACUGAAGAAGUGAACGCCUAUAUCGACGGACAUCGGGACCUGUACGGGGUCGAGCCGAUCUGCAGGGUCUUGCAGGUUGCCCCG